UUUCAGUGACGAAAACCUUCAGAAUGAUCAGUACCUCAUUUCCUUAAUGGAUGAACAAGGAUGGGUUCCCAUCAAAAUCAUAGCUGACUUCUAAAGGGUUAAGAUGAUGACCAUGGAUGUAGAGUUUAUAGUCUAUGCGUUGAGAUUUUCUACUUCUGUUGAAGUGCAGGGUGACAAGAUACGGAAGCGUGACGAGUGGUCUAAGUGGGUUCCUGCAUCUAAAAGGUCGGCCUCUGAAGAGAAAAUUGGAGGCAAUGACAAAGAUUUCCCAGAGAAUGUAACAAGCAAAGAUAACUUUAAAAACUCUUCAAAGCAUACUGCAUUCUUUUCUCGAGGGAGAUCAAAUGGUGGUCAACUAAGCUUGAAGCAGUUUCAUUAUGAUGGACUAAGAGGGAGACAAACAAAGUAGCAGAUCAAUUAGCAACUACUAGGCCUUUAGACAAUUCUUUUAAAUUUCAUUACCAUGUAUCACAAUAUAUCACUAGUCUUCUUCAUGAAGACCAUGUACUCUUGAUUGCAUAGUAAUAAUAAACAUAGAGGUUAUAAAAAAAAUUAUAUUUUUUAA
Molecule: long non-coding RNA, 565 nt
Organism: Brassica napus (rape)
Lineage: Eukaryota; Viridiplantae; Streptophyta; Magnoliopsida; Brassicales; Brassicaceae
Exons: 3
Source: RefSeq, a predicted model, not a curated record